AUCAGAGCAUUCCAUGUCAUACC
Molecule: non-coding RNA, 23 nt
Filed under: Arabidopsis thaliana (thale cress)
Lineage: Eukaryota; Viridiplantae; Streptophyta; Magnoliopsida; Brassicales; Brassicaceae
Source: RNAcentral